GGCCUGGUGGUGUAAUGGGUAACAUACUUGCAUGUUGUGGCCGUUAGCGAAAUCGUUUGCGGGAGAUCCUUGUUCAAUUCAGGGCUAGGUCA
This is a non-coding RNA of Mycena rebaudengoi, 92 nucleotides long. The record is from the annotation of a GenBank genome assembly. Lineage: Eukaryota; Fungi; Basidiomycota; Agaricomycetes; Agaricales; Mycenaceae.